RNAcentral lists this ribosomal RNA (301 nucleotides) under uncultured bacterium. Its description in RNAcentral is "partial 16S ribosomal RNA". It matches the Rfam family "Bacterial small subunit ribosomal RNA", at positions 509 to 807 of the family's 1533-position model. The record is from RNAcentral.
CAGCAGCCGCGGUAACACCGAGGGUGCAAGCGUUAAUCGGAAUUACUGGGCGUAAAGCGCGCGUAGGUGGUUUGUUAAGUUGGAUGUGAAAGCCCCGGGCUCAACCUGGGAACUGCAUCCAAAACUGGCAAGCUAGAGUACGGUAGAGGGUGGUGGAAUUUCCUGUGUAGCGGUGAAAUGCGUAGAUAUAGGAAGGAACACCAGUGGCGAAGGCGACCACCUGGACUGAUACUGACACUGAGGUGCGAAAGCGUGGGGAGCAAACAGGAUUAGAUACCCCGGUAGUCCCUGUCUCUUAUAC